RNAcentral lists this microRNA precursor (98 nucleotides) under Macaca nemestrina (pig-tailed macaque). Its description in RNAcentral is "miRNA (ENSMNEG00000021764.1)". The record is from RNAcentral. Lineage: Eukaryota; Metazoa; Chordata; Mammalia; Primates; Cercopithecidae.
AGGUGGGAGGAUUGCUUGAGCCUGGGAGGUGGAGGUUGCAGUGAGCCGAGAUCGCACCACUGCGCUCCAGCCUGGGUGACAGAGUGAGACCUUGUCUC